Molecule: ribosomal RNA, 433 nt
Filed under: uncultured bacterium
Lineage: Bacteria
Description: partial 16S ribosomal RNA
Rfam family: Bacterial small subunit ribosomal RNA
Source: RNAcentral
AACGAACGCUGGCGGCAUGCCUAACACAUGCCAGUCGAACGAGACCUUCGGGUCUAGUGGCGCACGGGUGCGUAACGCGUGGGAACCUGCCCUUAGGUUCGGAAUAACUCCCCGAAAGGGGUGCUAAUACCGGAUAAUGUCUUCGGACCAAAGAUUUAUCGCCUUUGGAUGGGCCCGCGUUGGAUUAGCUAGUUGGUAGGGUAAAAGCCUACCAAGGCGACGAUCCAUAGCUGGUCUGAGAGGAUGAUCAGCCACACUGGGACUGAGACACGGCCCAGACUCCUACGGGAGGCAGCAGUGGGGAAUAUUGGACAAUGGGCGAAAGCCUGAUCCAGCAAUGCCGGGGGAGUGAUGAAGGCCGUAGGGUUGUAAAGCUCUUUUACCCGGGAUGAUAAUGACAGUACCGGGAGAAUAAGCUCCGGCUAACUCCGUG